RNAcentral lists this unclassified non-coding RNA (362 nucleotides) under soil metagenome. RNAcentral's name for it is "partial contains 5.8S ribosomal RNA, internal transcribed spacer 2, and large subunit ribosomal RNA". The stretch from base 1 to 120 matches the Rfam family "5.8S ribosomal RNA", at positions 35 to 154 of the family's 154-position model. The record is from RNAcentral.
GAUGAAGAACGCAGCGAAAUGCGAUAAGUAAUGUGAAUUGCAGAAUUCAGUGAAUCAUCGAAUCUUUGAACGCACCUUGCGCUCCUUCGUAUUCCGAGGAGCAUGCCUGUUUGAGUGUCAUUAAUAUAUCAACCUUCUCUUUUUUGAGUUGUUUGGAUGUGGGGGUUUGCUGGCCUCUUAAAUGAUUCAGCUCCCCUGAAAUGCAUUAGCAGAACAACCUGUUCAUUAGCGUGAUAAUUAUCUAUGCUAUUGAAUGUGAGGGCAGUUCAGCUUUCUAACCGUCCUUGGACAAUUCAUCAUUAAUGUGACCUCAAAUCAGGUAGGACUACCCGCUGAACUUAAGCAUAUCAAUAAGCGGAGGA